AGCAUAAUCAUUAGUCUAUUAAUUGUGGACUGGAAUGAAUGGCUGGACGAGAUAUUGACUGUCUCAUAUUAAUAUAUUUAACUUUAUUUCUGAGUCAAAAAGCUUAGAUUGUAUUGUGGGACGAGAAGACCCUAUAGAUCUUUAGAUUGAUUUUUGCUAURUGGUUUUGUUUAUUAUUAAUUAGUAUGGAUUUUUCUUUUGUUGGGGUGACAUAGAGAUAUUAGGUAACUCUUUAUUUUAUUAUACAAUGAUGUUUGCUUAUAUGACCUUUUAAUAUAGUUAUAAGAUAGAGAUACCUUAGGGAUAACAGCGUGAUUUUCUUUGAGAGUUCUUAUCGACAAGGGAGAUUGCGACCUCGAUGUUGAAUUAAGAAUAGCCUUAGGUGYAGAAGCUUAUUGGU
This 400-nucleotide ribosomal RNA is filed under the name Metriophasma diocles. RNAcentral describes it as "partial 16S ribosomal RNA". It matches the Rfam family "Bacterial large subunit ribosomal RNA", at positions 1958 to 2572 of the family's 2925-position model. Lineage: Eukaryota; Metazoa; Arthropoda; Insecta; Phasmatodea; Pseudophasmatidae. The record is from RNAcentral.